This 29-nucleotide non-coding RNA is filed under the name Mus musculus (house mouse). The record is from RNAcentral. Lineage: Eukaryota; Metazoa; Chordata; Mammalia; Rodentia; Muridae.
UUCCAGUACACUUCCACCUGUGGCCGCCC